This 511-nucleotide ribosomal RNA is filed under the name uncultured bacterium. RNAcentral's name for it is "bacterial SSU rRNA". It matches the Rfam family "Bacterial small subunit ribosomal RNA", at positions 28 to 526 of the family's 1533-position model. The record is from RNAcentral.
GAUGAACGCUAGCGACAGGCUUAACACAUGCAAGUCGAGGGGCAGCAUACUAAUCAGCUUGCUGAUUAUGGUGGCGACCGGCGCACGGGUGAGUAACGCGUAUGCAACCUACCUAUCAGAGGGGGAUAGCCCAUCGAAAGAUGGAUUAAUACCGCAUAAAACAGGGGCCUCGCAUGAGGAUAUUUGUUAAAGAGAUUCGCUGAUAGAUGGGCAUGCGUUCCAUUAGUUAGUUGGUGAGGUAACGGCUCACCAAGACAUCGAUGGAUAGGGGUUCUGAGAGGAAGGUCCCCCACACUGGUACUGAGACACGGUCCAGACUCCUACGGGAGGCAGCAGUGAGGAAUAUUGGUCAAUGGGCGUAAGCCUGAACCAGCCAAGUAGCGUGAGGGAUGACUGCCCUAUGGGUUGUAAACCUCUUUUAUAUGGGAAUAACAGAUUCUACGUGUAGAAUUUUGCAUGUACCAUUAUGAAUAAGCAUCGGCUAACUCCGUGCCAGCAGCCGCAGUAAAAC